UUGUCUCACCCCGUGCUCCCCCGCACUCACACCUCUCUCCUGAACAAUGCCUGGCCGGGCCUUUUGCAAACACCCCACACAAACCUGUCCCUGCCUGGGCAAGCACCUUGGCUGCUGCUGUGGCUCAUCCAUCUUCCAUUUCCCCUGGUUUCUAGCAGCACUUCCCCGUGCUGACUGACUGACAGCACAGGCAGCCAGACACUCCCCACGGGGAGAAUGAGCUGACUGCAUGGAAUUUGGCCAUGCCCUUACCAUAACUUCAUUAGUAAUGGUGUUUUCUUCCCUUUGGACCAUGCUCUGCAGCAUCCAGCUCACACAUCCUGAAACCCACCCCACUGCAGGAGCUGAAACACAAAGUGAAGCUCCCAAAGCUCCAGCUGACCAGAGAUCCCAUACAAGAACCUCUGAGGGCAGGGUUACUUCUUUCUUUCCCAGUUCUUUAUGAAGUUGGUCAGGAUUUGUAUUAUCUGUGCACAUGUUUAAAGGAAAGUCUGGAAAGAGGCAGAGGAAGAUCUCUUGCACAGCUGAACAUGCUCGUGAGGGAACUGACACACAUGACAGUGAGAGCAGUAAGACACAAAACCAGAUGGGCAGAUGGAGCUGCCUGAACCAACAAUUCGAGCACCCUGGUUUUAUUUGUGUUAGAAAGAACUGUGCUGAGACAGAGGCCAAAGUGGGUUUCACACCAGGUCUUCAAAAUGCUUGGGGCUUGGAGCCCUGCAAAGGGCAGCGAUGGUACACCAUGGAUGUCACAGCUGGGGCACCUGGAGCGCAGAGCAAGGAGAUGCCAACACCUGGAUUUGUACAGGCAGCAUGGUAUGAAGACAACCUUUCCCAUAAAGCCAGAAAAAACAAAAGUACAAAACGAAAGAAACCUUCCCCCAGCGCCAGGAAACUAUAAAUAUUUUACUGGAAAAGAUCUCAUAUAUGAGCUUUAAAAACAAUCAAUUCAUUUUGUCACAGACAGGGCUGUUGGAAUGGAGUGUGCUCCAUGGAGAUGAAGUAACACGCUCCUCUUCUCAGACUCUUCCUCUCUGAUGCAGCGUUUGUGAAGUCACACUUCAGCCUCACACCAGCCCAAUCGGCAGGAAGGUAUUCCACGUGUUUCCCUGGGUUCAUGGGGACAUGGAAGCAGUGCUGGACAAUAUUUUUGCCUUUGUGAACAUCAGAUGCCUCCGUGGCAGCACUGGUUUGUCUGCGUCCCUCACUUACCAAGGGGAGGGCAAAAGCAAUUUGAGGUCACGCUGGUCCCCAAUAUUCUGAAAAUGGAGUAUCCAGUGUAUACACUGCUGCUGAAAAUGCUUCUUUGUAGGGAAAUGUAACUGGGACACGAGAUUAAUGGAUCAAAAUUGCA
Molecule: long non-coding RNA, 1354 nt
Organism: Onychostruthus taczanowskii (white-rumped snowfinch)
Lineage: Eukaryota; Metazoa; Chordata; Aves; Passeriformes; Passeridae
Exons: 3
Source: RefSeq, a predicted model, not a curated record